AACCGUGGUUCCACUAUCACUUUUUGUCUGGCACCCAUCUUAAUUGUAGGUAACUCACGUGUCCUGAUUUUCAUAGCUAAAAUGCACCUAUAUGGGAAUUCUCAAUUUAUGAAGGCUAUUAGAGAUGCACAUUCUUUCUCCAAGAAAAAACUUUUAAAAUAAAAGUUAAGUAGCCAAUAGUACCACACACAGCGAUAACACAACGUGUUUGUGCCUGCUUAAAUAUUAGCCCAAACACGGUCAGGUGGACCCGACAGGAAUUGAAACUUACAGUUCAUCAGGUACACCUCAGAAGAGAAGAGGAAGUGGUAGAAAGAAAGUGGUGUGAUAAUUUCUACAAUGGCGGAAUCAGACAGCUGAUUCAUAGCAAAUGUUGUUCUUGGGAAAGACCUCCAACACAGCUGGAGAAAGGAUGAGGCUAAAGGGUAUUGCAACAGCAACAGUGGUCAUAAUGGGUUUGGACAGGAAGACGUAAAAAAGACGUAGCAGGAAUCACUGGAACAGGUUUGUUCCUUUUAUUCUGACUCCCACAUAAAGACGUCCAGUGCCAUAUGAGAUUCCUUCUACUGUUAUCUUGUGUAAUUUUGUUACAGUAUGUAAACACAGUGGUAUAAAUGGAGGUUCUCAACCUUCAGGUAAAACAAACAGUGUGGGAAAUUUUUCUACAGCAAACAGAGAAGCUGAUGAAGGAGCGAUGGGAAACAAAAACUCUAUACAAAAUAGGGAACCUGUGAAUCAUCUUAUUAUCAACCAGCUUUGAAGAGACCUCUAAGGAAGAAAAUUAUUCAGAAGAGUGGCUAGUCCCUUUAGAAUAAGUAUUGUAAAUAAUAAUCAGUAACUAAAAGUGGUUUGAUUGGAAAUAACACCAUCAGGUAAUGGGCACAACUGGUGGCUAGUGACAGUUUA
Zootermopsis nevadensis is the source of this 906-nucleotide non-coding RNA. The record is from RefSeq and is a predicted model, not a curated record. NCBI's taxonomy places the organism in Eukaryota, Metazoa, Arthropoda, Insecta, Blattodea, Termopsidae.